AUCAUGCUGAGAUUAAAUCUCAGCCACUUAAACUCACCAAAAUAACUGCUACUCUAGCAGUUUAGGGCGGUUCAUUUAAGUUUUCAGCAGCUCCACUUUUUUUGCACAGGUUCCGGUAAACCUCCAUGUCUCCUUUUUUUCCUCCCCACGUUGUUGCAGGGCGUUUUCAUUGACAGUGGUGGGUGGUUAUUGAAGUUAAAUGACAGUAUUAAUGGUUUGCUUCACACAAUUGCCGUCGGUAAGCCUUUCUCCUCUACUCGUCGCCGCUGUUGUUUGAGUCUGACACCAGCGCCGCCUCCGUUCUACACCCUUUCGUUGCUUAACACACACUGACGCCACAAAAUUUCUGAAAUUGAUCACAAGGUAGCCUUCAUACACCCUUCCCCUUGUACACAUCUGGUAUAUACACAUACACAUAACAUAGCUUUCAUCAAUGGCUAUCUAAACCUUCAUUCAAUCACAUCCUGUUGCAGAUGUUUUACACCCCCACUUUCGUGCUCUUUCCUAAGUUGGUCGUCAGUCGCUUGCGGAAAUCCAUAUCGGCUUCGUCAAUCUUCUUGAUAAUGUAUAUAUUUUAUCUAAUAACUUCCACAUCUGCAAUCUAACACUGCAAAAUUGAUGAUUGAAGGGCUGAGAUUUAAUCCUCUGUUCCAGACUAAUCAAGUGCGUUUAUGAAGGAGGUUGAAAUUUUUCAUAAAGAGAGGAGUUUGGAGUUUAAGCCUCCAAAGUUUCAUGGAGAUUUAAUUUCUGGUGCAAAAGAGGGGUGAAUUAGAGGGACGUGUAACUUCCCUAAUUAGGGAGGUUAAAGAGUCGGGCCUACAAUAGUGGGAGCUGGUGACAGUGGCGGAACUAGAACAUCAAUUCAGGGGAAUUCCAAUUCAGCAGUUGAUUGUUUAUGAAAGAAUGCUAUUGGUGGGACUUGAUGAACGGUUAAAAGAACGAGUUUGCGGUCAAGAUGAAGCUGUGGAUGUGAGUGUGUGCUGACACAUACGCGUGAGAGAUCACCAUAUUGUGCCUUAAAACGCAAAGGGGUGGAGUGUUCCAAGGUUUUAGUGGAAAUCCCAACGUGUUGCCGCAAACAGUGGUUUACAGUGUCAUCAUCUACUCCGUGAUCGGGUUUGAGUGGAUCUUAAUUUAUUUACAGUUUUUUUUUUCUAAUUGUGUUAUUGCCCAUGUGUAAAUGUGUUAUAAAGGCUGCUCUUUUAGCUUCAACAAGUUCUACAUAUGGCUCAGAAAUUAGUCUAGAAUGUUGGGUAAUUGGUCAAAAUGCAUUUUGAGUCGAAGUGAGUCGUUUUGAUUAUACCUAUGUUGACACUUUUUUGAAAACACACCAAGAGCUAAAGUGUGACGUGAAGGAUUUGUACAUCAACUCUGCAAAGUUUAUUUCUUUGUUGACACUUGUAAACACACCAAAGACUUAUGUUGACACUUUUUCAUGCGAGUUCUUUUCUUUGUUUUUUUCUUAUGCUAAUCUUUAUUUUUGUGAUCUUUUUGUAGUUAACGUCAACCAAAGGUUGUUGUGGUGAACUUCUGAAACCCUAGGAACCGGAGCAAAGCAGGCAAUAUUGGCGUCAACCAAAGUUUUGUCGACGAAAGUAUUAUUUGUUAUUUGCAAUAGGAACAACCUUGUAGAUUUAAGUUGUCAUGUUUAAAUUAUAUUGAAGCCUUUUAAUUUAUUAAUUGCUGAAAGGGAUAGGUUAGAAUGUUUGAAGCAAGUUGAAUUUCAAACAGUUUUUGUGGUUUUUUUCUGUUU
This is a long non-coding RNA of Helianthus annuus (common sunflower), 1753 nucleotides long. RefSeq lists it as uncharacterized. Lineage: Eukaryota; Viridiplantae; Streptophyta; Magnoliopsida; Asterales; Asteraceae. The transcript is spliced from 7 exons. The record is from RefSeq and is a predicted model, not a curated record.